This 35291-nucleotide long non-coding RNA is filed under the name Coffea arabica (coffee). RNAcentral describes it as "long non-coding RNA (CARA_LNC003878)". Lineage: Eukaryota; Viridiplantae; Streptophyta; Magnoliopsida; Gentianales; Rubiaceae. The record is from RNAcentral.
UUUUUUUUUUUUUUUUUGUGAUUAAAAUAGCAUAUGUCCUGGAAUCCUCUGAGGAUUGGAAGCUUAGGAAAAUCACAUCCAUUGAUAGGAUAUCUUUGGUACGAAAGUUGACACGAACGGAAUUUGUAACCACAACCCCACAACACCUGUCGAUGCAUCAAUUCCUUGCUGUUUCUUAGAUUCCCUGAAAUACAACGGCUAUCUAUAUCCCAGUUCAUCCAAUGUCAUUCCUGUCGAAGAGAUCCAUAAAAAACUCGAGAAGAAAAAGAAAAAAAGAGAGGAGGGCCGGGAAGUCAGCAAAGUCCUAUAGUGUAGGACCUUUAACCCUGCACUGGCCACAGGCACCAUCUGAGAAUCAGAGAAACAAAAAGACUACCCCCACAAGAGAGGUCCCCGUAACCCUACACAGACUUUACAGACCCUGGUUUUCGUGCUGCAAGCCUGCAACCUACAUGUGACAAAAUUCCAAUCAUUAACGUUGUUUCCCCCACUCUUGCCAACCAAUAAAAAAAAAAAAAAAAAACCACCCUCCCUCAAUUAUUAAAGCCAAAAUUCACAAGACAAAGCCCUCUUCUUCUGAGAUUCUGCAAUGCCAUAAUAAUUGUACUAGCUAUAUAAAUCCAAACUUUUCAAGACUACUAUUAUGUUCCACACAAACAUAAUGUAAUGGCAGGGGAAAUGGGAAAGGAGAAAGAUCAGAAUAAGAGCAUUACGAGAACAACAAAAUGCGGUGUGAGCAAAAAAGGAUAGAAGAACACAUGCCCAAUAACAUCAUCAUUCUUGAACUUUAUAAUGGCUACCCCAAAAUGAUAAAUAGUACUCCUGUAACUUGAGAGCAUGGAAAAACUAUAGGCAAAGGUAAAACCAUAUCCGGGAAGUCUCACCAUCCCAAUAAAAGUAACCAUAGGGGAAAACACAGAGAAAAAAGAAUGAUGAUCAGGAUCAUGAUGCAUGUUAAGAAGGCCCACAGCAAACAUAUCUGUACAGCAAUAAGCCCCUCUCUCUCUCUCUCUUUCUCUCUCACUCUCACACACACACACACGAAAACUCUCUCUCUCUCUCUGAUAACUAUCCUCAUCAUUUCACAACAUGACAGCUUGAGGUACAGGAGGAGGACCAAUUCUGAUGGAAUUCCAAAAGGGCUAUCCUUAAUUCAUUCCCACCCUGCCAUGCAGGAAUCUUUCCAUUAAAUACUAAGAAAAUGUGAAUUGUAUAGAAGGGUUACGGAGAGCUUGAAAAUCUGGAGAAGAACAAUUAUUCAUCCAAGUCAUGUGUUGUCAGUCCUAUUCACGAAUUUUAUCAGAUGUCUGGUUAUCUGAUUGCCCUACACUGCUUUCCACAUCAGCUAAUCCACUACUGUCCUUCAUUGAUUCAAUUUCCAUGCUUGCUGUUCGGCUUCUCCUGUUCCUCCGAUCCUGUAGAAACAUUAUUACUUUGAAUUAGUUUGCUUAAACUAACAAAGUUCUCAUGAGCCUCCCACGAGGCUAGCACUAUCCAAGAUGCUUGAUAGAUCAUGUUCUUAUUCAAGAAACAACAAGAAUGAUUCAAUCAGGAGAAAAUAUGCAUUUUUAACAGAAAUCCUUGUUGAGAGUCUUGUUUCAUGAACAAUUACAAUGGGAACCUUUUCAGAAGUCCUCGACAUCUGCUGAUGCAGAUUGAAUCAUGCACAAUUUACGAACUCUACACAUAUAGACAUCGAUAGAUGCUAUUUGUGUUCCUUAAUAGACUGUAGCCUUUACUCAAAGUCUUAAAAAAGGCCAAAGGCAACCAUAAGCAUGGUCUAGGCUUGCAGGAUAAGUAUGCCUGGCCAAAGUACAAUGCUUAUGCGAAACACUUUUAAUACCAAAAUCUACAGGUUAUUCUCAAUAUCAAUUUUCUAGCAAGUGGAGACUUUUUGUAUCUGCACUGACAUGUAGGUUAGGCACUGGUCUCUUUUCAUUACUCAGAAGCAACAAUAAGAGAGGAGUCCAAGAGCUUUUAACUAUGACCCUCUGUUCAAAAAAGACAAUUCAGUCUUCAACUGACAUGUAGAUUAGGCACUGGUCUCUUUUCAUUACUCAGAAGCAACAAUAAGAGAGGAGUCCAAGAGCUUUUAACUACGACCCUCUGUUCUGUUCAAAAAAGACAAUUCAGUCUUCUUCAAAUACCAUAUACAUGCAUUGCAUGGAAGCUCUGACUAACUGAAUUAUUAGCAUUUUUCAACUGGAGAAUUCAGAACUUGGACAAACACUAAACAUCCAAUAGACGACAACCCAUACAGACAAGUGAACAUUUUAAUAACACAUUCAAAAAUUGGGAUUGGAAAAGCACCUCACGGUAUGGAAAUUCAUCUGCCUCGAGCAUUCGCACAACUUGACUCAUCCUGGGUCGCUUCUCUGCAUCAGGAUCAACAGAUCUGAGUGCCACCAAAAGUGCACGCUUUAAGGCACGAGUUGCUGGCUUUACUUCAAGGUCAGGAUCCACAACUUCUUCAGCUCUUCUAUGUCCUACCAUCAUUUUCAGCCACUCAACAAGAUUCACCUGGCACAGGAACAAAUCUCCUGGUUAGCCAAGCCUGAAGCCCAUGUCCACUAAUGCCCCAAAUCCACAGUAAAUGGAAAGACAGAAAAGAAUUCACAGACUGUACCAACACUAUCACAAUCAAUAUAGUUUAUAAGGAUUCCAUACCUCGUUAGCAGGACGGGCAUAGUCAACUGGAUCUCUUCCUGUGACUGCUUCCAGUAGUAGAACUCCAAAACUAUAUAUAUCACUUUUUUCAUUUAACAAACCACUGUUUGCAUAUUCUGGAGCCACAUAGCUGAAAUUAACAACACAAAAUGUUUAAGCAUAAAGAAUUCUUCGUAUAAUUCACAUUGGAUAAUAUGGAGGAAAAGGAUAGAUGGCUGAAAAUAAAGAACCAGAAGGAUUUAGUUAAAAACUGGCUUACCCAAAUGUUCCCAUUACUCUUGUCGUUAUGUGGCUUUCUCCUGAGCCCAAGAGCUUUGCCAAUCCAAAAUCAGAAACCUUGGCAUUGAAUUCAUCAUCGAUCAAAAUAUUACUAGAUUUUAUAUCUCGAUGGACAACCUUAGGCUCUAUAGCUUCAUGCAGGUAAGCAAGCCUGCAAAACAAUGUGACACAAUGUUCUGGAUCAAAGCAAUGGAGACACAAUAUAUGAAGAUUUAAUUUUACAAUAAGCGCUUACUACAAACUACAAGGUUUCACUUAGUAAGCAACAUAUUAGAAACAGAUUGCACAAGUGCUACAUUUCAAAAAAGAAGAAUGGAAAAAUCAGGGAAACAGUGCUAUAAGAAGAUGGGUGGACAAGAAUUGCAUCGCAUUUUACCGAUGGAUUAUGCUUAAUCAAACCUGCAAGAGGUUAAAAAAAAAAGCAAAUAUGAAACAUAGUUCAUCAGAUUUAAUGCAUGGCAGACUUACGCUUUUGCAGUACCAAGAAGCACUUUCAUGCGUGCAUCCCAUGUGAGUGUCCCAUGUUGUUUCAUAGUACCAUGAAGCCAUUGUUCUAAGUUGCCAUUAUUAACAUACUCGUACACCAACAUCCUGAAUUAACAAAAACAAGGAUAAUCUCAGCAAAAAAAAGGAUAAUCUCAGUUAAUGGAGAUGUAUCUCAUUAGACUGAAAUUCAAGACUCAAUAAGUCAAUAAACAUAAUCAUAAUUUUAAUUUUCUUUUUCUUAUUAUUAACUAAAUUAGUGGAUCAAGGAUGAAGCUCAAAACCAAGACCCCAGCCCUGCCUUGUUUAGAGUGCUCCAACCAACAAAGCUAGGCCUUGGCUCAAACUUGAAGUUCCUCUACUACUACUGCAAUUUGCAGAAUCAUUCAAGAACUAUUUUACAUUAAGUAUAGAAAUGAAACUGCUGACUUGAAAAUUCAGGUGGAAAAAGAAGAUUCUUACCUCUGAACCCCUUCUAUGCAAUAGCCCAGGAGCCGCACAAGAUUCUUGUGCCGAACAUGCCCAAUGGCCUCUACUUCGACCCUGAAUUCUUUUUCAGCUUGGCCACUGAAAUUAGUUCAGAAUUCAACCGUGAAUAAGUUAAAAAAACUCCAAAAACACAUAUUGAAGCCAUGAAAAUGAAGUAUUUAUGUACUACUCACAGAUUGUUAAGAAGCUUCUUUACAGCUACCUCUGUCCCAUUGACCAAUCUGCCCCGGUAAACAACCCCAUAGCCACCUUCCCCAAUCACAUUCUCUGCUGAGAAGCGGUUUGUAGCAAUAUCAAGAUCUCUAAGGGUAAACCAGUGACCCCAACCAAGAUGUGAUAUUUCUGGCAAGCCAAUCAGAGGAGAGGCCAUUGGAAGCCCGUAAGGCAAUGAAGACAGUUUUCGAGCAGUACCAGAACUUCCUUCUUCCCCUGAUUGUGAGCUGCAAGCCCUCUCAUGGUGAUACAUUGAGCUACACUGACUGAGAUUAUCGACAUCACUUGAUUUACUCCUCCCCAGAUGUACUAACAUCUUUUCUGAAUUCUUAUCGCUUGACUUGUCGUUCACUGUCAGGUAUACUGUUUCUGGGUGAUCAUGGUAAUCUUGACCUCCUACUCUAUCGACUUUGAUGUCUUUUGAUAUGUUAGGUAUUUGACAAAGUGAAUAUUUGUCGAGGGUUCUUCUUGAUCUCCUCCGGAACAUUACCCAUAUUGAUAAGGUACAAAGUAUCAAAACUAUAAACGCACCAACACAUAAACCAAUCACGACCCAUAAUUUUAAACCCAAAAAUGAUGUCUUCUUGGAUAGCUCAGCAUUCAAACUCUCAGACGACAUGUUCGACAAACUUCUACCAAGCACCAAUAAACAAGUCUUGUCCCCGUAGCUUCACCUGGGGAAUUAAACCAUGCCUCCUGGAUCCCAUAAACAUGUCAUAUAAGGACAGAAGCACCCAAAUGGCAAAUAAGUAUCAAAAUCUUAGGCUAGUUGGUAAUCCAAUUCUCGAUUUGUUUCCUUCUUCUACUUUGAUUUCCUUAAGUAUUGAGCCUAAACCAGCCAACUAUCACCCAAUUCUAAUGACACACUCAAAACUCACAAGUGUAAAGAGAGAUUAGUUUUUGUCAUUCAGACAGCAUAAUUCAUGUGGGAGACCAAGUCAGAAAGUUUCCAUAGAUGAACCAAAGAGACCAUGGUCCAAAUGUUCCAAUAGAUACCAGAACAUUUUACAGUUCAUAAUCUCAGACAGGGUUCAGAACAAAGCAAUGAGAAGAGUAUCAAAACACCAUAGCAAUAGCAGGCAUUUAAUAAAUAAAAGCAACCAAUUUCAAAAGAAGCCAAUGCAAAAUCCACAAAAACUUACUCAUUUUUUAAAAUCAACAGAGGCAAAGACUUGCAUAUAAAAACAUUAAACAUAUAAAAUCUUGAGAAUAAAAUCAAGCAAAGCAUGACUUAUGAUCCAAGUUAAAUCCAGUAAAAAGUGUAUUCAAAGCAGAAAGCACUGACCUUGAGGUGAUCUGAGUCUAACCCCCUCGAUCUUCCUCCUUGAGAACCCAAAGAAGCAAAGAAAGAACCUCUUUUUGUACCAAUAAGGGUCCAACAAGCAUAGAUAUCCCAAUGCAGAGCUGAAAUAAAGGAAAAAAAAACCACCACAAAUAGCAAAAGACUAAAAAAAGUUAACUUCUGAAGAAAGGAGGAGUAGUUUACAAGUAGAAACUAAUCAACUAUGGCCUCAAGUGGGCCAGAAAAGAGAGUUAAAACAACAGUACAAAGGAAUUUUUUUUUUCUCAAUCAAUGCCAGACAAAAAAUCAAUCUUUUCAAGAAAUAGAGCCAAUGUUGUGAGAAAUAUAUCAAGGGUUCUUUUCUUUUUUUUUUAUUUGGUAGUGAAGGUGUCAUAAAAGCAAGAGUUGGGUAAAAAAUGGUUGGUGGGGUUGCAUGAAUGUGGAGGAAAGACCGACCUCAAACAAGCAGCAGCUGGAAAGGGAAGCUUAGGUUGCAAUGAAGGAAACCACAGAUGAAGAAGUAAAGGGAAAGCAAAAAAUUAUGCAAAGAGAAAAAAAAAAUUCAGCAUGAAGAGAACAGAAAAAGUGAGAUAUAGUUGGCAUUUAUAGCAGAGUGAUGAAAUAUUGGAAAAAGUGCAAAAAGGAAAAAAAAAUCAACAAAAGGAAAAGGAAAUGGAAAAGGAAAAGACAGAUAAAUAUGUGUGCUAGUGUGUGUGAAACUAUGAAUAUGAUGUCUGUGCCAUGUGCGCGUGAGAGUCAAACCGGAGAAUAGGUGAGUCUUUUUUUUUUUUUUUGAGGAAAGCAGAGGUGAGUGCAAAUGUAUGUGCAGUCUGGUUGAAUUUACUCAACUGUCCUUAUCCUUGUCACCUAAAAGUACCAAAAAGUAAGGUUGUGUUUGGAUUGCAUUUUCCGUCAUUUUUCAUGGAAAAAUUACUGUAGCGAUUUGAUAUAUGUGAGGGAAAAAGGUGAUAGGGAAAUGUGAUCACGGAAAACGAUAAUAUUUUCCGACGAAAACCUUCAAUCCAAGCAAGGCUUUAAUAUUUUUGUAGUUUCAUUUAUUUCGAGUUAGAAAAAUAAGAAGGUUGGUGAAUUAUUCAUUGAAAAAUCUUGAUUACACGUCAAAUAUGUUGAUGGAAAUCUAAUUGGCGUGAUAUUAUUGGUAUUACCAAACCACAUGACAAUGUACAUAUUCAAAAUAUACUCGACUAUGUAUACAUUGUUCGACAAAAUAUAUUGCAAUUAUUAAGCGAUGUCAAUUGUCGCAUAUAUUUAAAAGUUAUUUGACUAUUUAAUACUUUCCUUCACGAAAAUAUGUAUUCAUUUAUUCGACGUUAAAUACUGCACUUAUUCGACGAAAGAUAUUAUUAAACGGUGUCAGUUGUCGUAUAUAUUUAAGAGUUAACGAUGUCAAUUGUGGUAUAUAUUUAAGAGUUAUUUGACUAUUUGAUACUCUCCUUUGCGAAAAUAUUAUAUUUUUUGACGCAUUAAAUACUGUACUUAUUUGACGAAAUAUAUUAUAAUUAUUAAACGGUGUCAAUUGUCGUAUAUAUUUAAGAGUUAUUAACGGUGUCAAUUGUUGUAUAUAUUUAAGAGUUAUUUGACUAUUUAAUAUUUUCUUUCAUGAAAUAUAUUUUAUUUUUGACGCGUUAAAUACUGUACUUGUUCGACGAAAGAUAUUAUAAUUAUUAAAUAGUGUCAGUUGUCGUAUAUAUUUAAGAGUCAAUGGUGUCAAUUGUCGUAUAUAUUUAAGAGUUAUUUGACUAUUUAGUACUUUCCUUCACGAAAAUUAUUAUAUUUUUUAUGUGUAAAAUACUGUACUUGUUCUAGGAAAGAUAUUAUAAUUAUUAAACGGUGUUAGUUGUCGUAUAUAUUUAAGAGUUAUUUGACUAUUUAAUACUUUCCUUCAAAAAUAUUGUAUUUUAUAACGCGUUAAAUGCUGUACUUGUUCGACGAAAUAUAUUAUAAUUAUUAAAUGAUGUCAGUUGUCGUAUAUAUUUAAGAGUUAACAGUGUCAAUUGUCGUAUAUAUUUAAGAGUUAUUUGACUAUUUAAUACUUUCCUUUACAAAGAAUAUUAUAUUUCUGAUGCGUUAAAUACUGUACUUAGUCGACAAAAGAUAGUUAUUAACGGUGUCAGUUGUCUUAUGUAUUUAGAGUUAACGAUGUCAAUUGUCGUACAUAUUUAAGAGUUAUUUGAAUAUUUAAUACUUUCCUUCAUGAAAAUUAUUAUAUUUUGGACGCGUUAAAUACUGUACUUGUUCUAAGAAAGAUAUUAUAAUUAUUAAACGGUGUUAGUUGUCGUAUAUAUUUAAAGUUAACGGUGUCAAUUGUCGUAUAUAUUUAAGAGUUAUUUGACUAUUUAAUACUUUCCUUCGCAAAAAUAUUAUAUUUUAUAACUCAUUAAAUACUGUACUUGUUCGACAAAAGAUAUUAUAAUUAUUAAACGAUGUCAGUUGUCGUAUAUAUUUAAGAGUUAACGGUGUCAAUUGUCGUAUAUAUUUACGAGUUAUUUGACUAUUUAACACUUUCCUUCUUGAAAAAAGAAUAUUAUAUUUCUGAUGCAUUAAAUACUGUACUUGUUCGAUAAAAGAUAAUUAUUAAAUAGAGUUUGUUUGGAUUGCAUAUUAUUUACACCCUAUUUACACGCACUGACUUGUUUGGAUCAUCAGCACAUUUUUCAACCACCUUUUUAUCCCAUACACAUCAUAUUAAAAAAGUAAUACAGUAUUUUUUUCACAACAUUAUCCCAAAUAAUCUCCAAUCCAACAGUGUCAGUUGUAGUAUAUAUUUAAGAGUUAUGUGACUAUUUAAUACUUUGCUUCACGAAGAAUAUUUAUAUUUCUUAAAUACUGUACUUAUCCUGUGAUUAUACGUGUAUGAUUCAAAAGCUACCCAUUUCAAUUUCUCGAGAUUAUACAUGUUGGAGGAUAUCACUCGUUGUGCAUAUCUGAAGAAUACUACGUUCGAUCCAUAGGAUAUUGCAUCUAAAUUUUACUCGACUAUUCAAUACUUUCCUUCAACAAAGAAUACCACACUUAUAAUCCAUCUAAUGUUAUACUUAUCUUGGUUUACGUGUAUUAUUUGAAACUUUUCAAUUUUCUCAACGCUUAAAAUUUCCUUUCUCAAUCUGUUAUGGAACGAAAAAAUUCAUAAUACUAUGCAACAUUACGAAAUGUGGCAGCAUAAAAGUUGACUAAAAAUUUCAUAGUUUUUCUUUUUUUUUAUCGGAGUGCAAUGACCAAAAACAGCGUGGGAUGACAUGAGAUGUGACACGCAGGAAUAGGAUUCCAAGUUAAAUGGUACUGCUACUUGGUAGUAUGACUUCUAAACGUGCCAUGUUUGUGCAACACGCAGGCCACAUUUUUUCUUAGGAUUUCGGAGGACAAAACGUACUUUUCGCAUAAUUUGACUAGACAAGUAUUUUCACAUAGGAAUUUUCGGAAUGUCCAAAUUCUGGGUGCCGUUGCCGCUCUGCCACUUACCACCGACUGCAAACUCGGAAUACCUACCUAAUGUGUACUUAGGAGUAGUGAUUAACAAACGCAUACUCGCUUUUUUUUUUUUGUCAUGGUAACACGUACUCUCUUUUUAUCUUUUCCGAAUUACAGUGCACUCUCUAAUCGACUAAUGCACUUAACUUUUAACUUCUCUAAAAUGUUUUUAUUUAGUGUUGUACUUUGUUACCAUUGAAUAUAACUUGUCUUAUUUAUCAACUGUUUUGAUUCAUGUCGUGAAUGGUGCAACUUUUCAUCAAUGUUAUUGUUACAAUUAAUGUAAAAGUAUAAUAGUUAGUUACACAGCUAAUAUUAAUGUAAGGAUAUUCUAGAAAAAUAGUAGGUUAGAUUUCCAAUAAAGUUAAAUACUCCCUCCAUCCCACUUUGAUAGUCCUGUUUUUUUUCUUUAUCUGUCCGAUAUUGCAGUCCACUUUUCAAUUGAAGAAUGUAGUUGUAUUUUAAUUUAUCUAAAAUACCCUUUGCUCAAUAUAGUAGAUUGUAACUUUUCUUAAAGUGUGUGAAAGAGACUGUACAUGCAUGGAUAUCAAAAUGGGAAGGAGGAAGUACAUGUCAUCAAUGUUUAGAUCAAACUUUUGGUUAGAUAUCUUUGUCAAAUCAAGGUAUAUUUAUUGAUGUUAAUCAAGGUGCAUUUAUUUAUUAAUUAGGCAGCCAUUUUGUGGUUGGAAACCGCAUUGGUAAAGCAGCCUGUAGAUUUUGAUUUGCAAGUCUCCAAGUUAGGUUUUUGAUUGAAGAAACUCAAACUACAAGGAAAAGAUAUUAGUACUAUUUUGAUUACCAAUAUUUUGUGGACAUAUAUUUAUGGUAUAUCCUUAAGGGGAUGGAAGUGAUUGCGUGUGACUGUGCGAGCUUUUCCACAGAUAUGUUCAAUGGUUUGAUUAAUUGUUUCAGACUUGCCUAAAAGCUUGAUCUAUCUCUCUCUUUCCCAAACUUUUGCUCAAAAUUCGAAAGUUCAUAAUUAGUCCAUCCAUAAUAAAUCCUGCUGAAAAUGGAAUUAAUGCAACAGACAUAAUAGACAGUUAUCACCGCCGAAUUUUGUUCCUAAAAUUGUGGUUCCAUUUUUGUGAAUAAGCGUUUUGUUCAUUAUUGGGGAGAUGAUAAUUGCUUUUGUACAAUCUUUUGAAAAGUGUUCAAGGAAAAUACCCUAACAUCUUCGCCAAAUUUUUGUAUCCAUACCAGCAUGCUACACCUACACGGCACCAUGUUGAGUAAGUGAAUAUGAAUCAAUACAGACUAAUCACCCUGCACCCUGAAGUACCCCGCUCCCUAAGAGCACCCAGGCGUUAAGAGAGGUUCUAACCCUGGACCUUGGGACAUUUACGGUUACCCCAAGACCAGAUGAUCUAACCCAGAGGGGCAAUAAACUAUAUGAUUUUACUCAAAUUAUAUAUCUAUUAUUUCAAGUAUAUGUUUAACAUGUCAUUAGAACAUAUGUGUAAAUUAAAUAGUGUUGAACGAUUUCCAACAAUUUGUUAUUGAAGUUUGCUUUUUAUAAAAAAAAAUUAUAUAUAUAAUUUUGCAAAUUGAUCCAUUCGCCCGUGACCAUCAUUUUUAUGACGGGAAAAACUCUUUUCCAUCAAAUCGGUAGGGGAAUUUAAAAGAACAUAAUGAUGAUUAAUGUCUCCAUGCACUUUGUCUAAUUUAGAUUCAAUAAAAGUUUGACUAGGAAUUAGACUCGGUAGACAUAUUGGUACUCCAUAAUUUAUGUCAUGAGGGAAAACUAGAUUUUGAACUUUUCAAUUAAAAUAAAUCAGUCAAACUCACAUAAAUCAACCUGAUACAAAGUUGAGGUUUGAUUGUGGCACGCAAUAUUCAAAAAUCGAUAUUCAUAAAAGAUUUUUAAUUUUUUGGUAAACACAUAUAUCAAAUCAAUACAAUACAUUUUUUUUUUUUUACAAAAACUCCUAAAAAUAACAAUCUAAAGGGUCGGCAGUACAUAAUAAACCAUCUUUACUGCUACAAUAACGAUUGAAAUGUAAAUAAAUACUUCAAUAUAAAUAAGAUAAACAGCUAAUCAUGCCCCUCGUAUAACAAAUAGAGUCUUCUCGAAAUGAUUGACAUUUGACCAAGCCCAAUUGAUAUGAAUAUUAGUUUUAUAAAGUAAACCGUUAGUCAUGCCCCGGUGUAAUAAGAUAUGAACUCGCUCUUGAAAUGAUUGACUUUUGAAUAAUUCCAAUUGAUUUAGACUAUUUAGCAACGGUUAAUAAGGUUAUAAGUGUCAAUUCCCCUACCAAGCUGGCAAAUUCUGUUCUUUUGGCAAACAAUUGACCUAUAUUCUAAGCUCUGCGUGAGAGAGAGACAGAUAGCAAUAGCCAAUAGAAUAUGAUUAGUUUAAAAACAAUGUGCUUUUCUUCACUGUCAUUGUCAUUAUGACUAAUUGAGCCAUAAAGCCUCCAUUGGAGGAGGAACAAAGGCUUUGAUUUGAAGCAAUACUUUUUUACUAAAGCAUGUCUCGGAUAAAUCUUUCAAAUCCUUAUAUAGGCUUUAAAAAAGAUUAAUGAGGCAAGUGGGGUUUGUUAUGUACCGUAAUGAAGUACCCUAAUGCCACAUAAUUUUAGGCCCUACAUGUUUUAUUUAAGGUUAAUUAACCCGAAUUAGUAAUCCUUGCCCAUAAUCACGAAUGGGGAAAAUGAUGUAAAAGCUGAGCCGUGUUUCAGAAUACUGACCUUGCAGGUGCACCACAUGGAAGGCACGUGGCUGGACUCGUUUUUUGGGCUCACAAGGUAACUCCUUUGUUUUUUUAAGGGUUAUUAUCACUUUACUCCCUUAAACUGUAUCACUAUUAUCAAUUUACUCUAUAACAUUAUCUUUUAGUCAUUUCACCCUCAUAAGUAAUUCAACUCAACAUGGUAAGAAAUUUUGGAUGAUAAAAUAUCAUUUUAUUCUAUAGCAUUGCUACAUUGUUAUUAUCAUUUUAUCAUUUUAAAUUAUAGUGAUACAAUCACUUUAAUUUCUAACAUUAUUUUUUGGGCAUUUUACCUCAUCGUUAAUCUAACUAGUAUGAUAAAAAAUUUUAAAUGUAUUUAUCCUUUUUUUAUAUAUAAUUAAAAAUAAAAAAGUUGGAAUGGUUAUUCUUCAUUUUUUUUUCACUUUAAGAGAUCCAAAAAUAUAAAAAUAAAAGGAUUUUCUUAAAUUUUUUUUCACACUUAUUAAUAUUAGGAAAUGAAAAAGAGAUAGGAAAGAAGGAGACAGAAAAUUAGAUUUUACAAAGAAAGAAAAUAAAGAAGAGUCUAAUAUUUGCCGUGUUACUUUAAGGUUGUCGGGAUUACGAUUGGAAUUGAGUGGUAAACAGAUAAAUAAAAUAAUUUUAAAAUAAUAAAAAUAUUUAAUUCUUUCUUAUUUAUAUUUUAAAAAAAGGAAUUGAGCUCUCUCUUUCUCCCUCUCCCACCCUAUCUUUAUUUUUUUUUCAAUAUUAAUGAGAUUACCAAGAAGAAAGAGAUUAAUAUUUUGACUUUUUUUUUAUACUAAAAAGGAGAAGAACCACUCUAAAUAUUUUUAUUUUUUUAUUAUACAAAGAAAACAAUACUUUUUUUCUAAAGUUUUUUAACUUGGUAAAUUGAUUUCAUGGUGGAAUAAAUUGUUUAAAAAAUAACUCUUGAGAGUAAAUUGAUAAGUUUAUGGAAGUAAGGUGAUAAUAAUUUUAAGGGUUAAACAUAUUUUUUCAUUUUAUUUAACAAAUUUCGUUAAAUUUGACCAUUAGUUUUCGGAGUAAAGUGACUAAAAUGUAACGUUAAGAGGAAAAUUGAUAGUAACACUGAAUAUUAAAGGGGCAAAGUGAUAAUAACUCUUUUUUUAAAUAAAAAGUUUGAAUGGUUUCGACUCUCAACACCUUCAAGAACUAGGAUACACUCUUGAUACCAUAAGUCGUUUAUAGGGAUCCCUAUACUCACAUUGACAAUGACAUUCAAACAGACAACUUUUUGUGAAUAAGUAAUUUGUUCUUAUCUACUGAGUUAACUUGUAUUAAUGAAUGCCUCUAUAACUUUUUAGUUUUGCUCUUGAGACCACAAGUUGUUUAUAAAGAUUUUUACUUUCACAUCGACAAUGGAAUUCAAACAGACAACUUUUUGUGAACAAGUAAUUUGUCCUUAUCGAUUGAAUUGACUUAUGUUAAUGAAUGCCUCUAUUGCUUUUUAGUUUUGUUCUUGAAACCAUAAGUCGUUUAUUGACUUAUGUUAAUGAAUGCCUCUAUUGCUUUUUAGUUUUGUUCUUGAAACCAUAAGUCGUUUAUACGGAUUUUUACCCUCAUGUCGAUAAUGGAAUUCAAACAGACAACUUGUUUAUAAACAAAUAAUUUGUCCUUAUCGACUGAGUUGACUUGUGUUGAUGAAUGCCUCUAUUGCUUUUCAGUUUUCCUCCCCAUCAACACGAUUUCCUGUUUGUUGCUUUUUUCUUUAUUAGGCAUUAGUUAAGACCAAAACGUAUUUCUAGAUCUCUCCAGACCAAUGAAUAAUUACAUGAGUAGAUAGUAGGGAUAAUUUCAGAAACCUCCCCUGAGGUUUCUGACAUUUACACUCACCUCCCCUGUGGUUUGAACAAUUACACUAACCUUCCCUGAGGUUACUAAUCCUUUACAAAUUCAGUCCAAAUGAUUAAAAUAUUGUUUUAGAGAGUGAAAUUAGAAUUUUGUACCUGAUUUGCCCUUUGUGCUAUAUAUCCAAUGAAUGACAAAGUAUUACAAAUUAAUUAAUAAUUAAUAAACUUUAAGGAGCGUAGUUUAUAGGUAAAAACGUAUUACUUAUUUAAAGUACUAACUCUUUACGAGUAUUUUACUUUCAAACAUUUACUUUAUUACAAAUAUUUAUUCUCAAAUACAGAUUUGUAUUACUCUCAAAUAUUUAAUUUUUGUUAAAUAAAAAACCUACCAGUUUUUCUUCCGUAGAAAUAUUAAUAUAACACUUUUUCAAUUUUAGUUAUAAAUAUUUAUGUAUUUAGCAUAAAUUAAAUGAUUCAGAAUUAAAUACUCAUAAAGAGCUAAUACUUUACUCAUGUAAUAGAUGAAAAUCAUAAAAAAAUAAUACUUUAUGGGCCAUUUCUUUUUUUAAAAAAUAUUUAAUUUAUGUUAAAUAGAUAACCUACUGAUUUUCUUUUUGCGAGAAUAUUACUGUAACACUUUUUAAUUUUUAAUUACAAACGUUAAUAUAUUUAUCAUAAAUUAAAUAUUUGAAAAUAAAAUAUCUGUAAAGAGUCGUUACUUUAAAUAGGUUAUGUGUAUUUGCCUAUAAACUAUACUCUUUAAAGUAAGGAGUAUAGUUUAUUGAUUUAGCUAGUAGAGAAUCUUUUGUAGGUGGCGGGGUUAGUCCUCUUAAGAGACAAAAAUGUGUAUGCUUUUGGUAAAACGAUUAGUUUAUACGUGUAAGUACGAGCGUGCACACAAAAGUGGUUGGGUCUAUUUGAGAAUAAAUAUUUGUAAUAAAGUAAAUGUUUGAAAGUAAAAUACUCGUAAAGAGUUAGUACUUUAAAUAAAUAAUACGUUUUUACCUAUAAACUACGCUCCUUAAAGUUUAUUAAUUAUUAAUUAAUUUGUAAUACUUUGUCAUUCAUUGGAUAUGUAGCACAAAGGGCAAAUCAGGUACAAAAUUCUAAUUUCACUCUCUAAAACAAUAUUUUAAUCAUUUGGACUGAAUUUGUAAACGAUUAGUAAGCUCAGGGGAGGUUAGUGUAAUUGUUCAAACCACAGGGGAGGUGAGUGUAAAUGUCAAAAACCUCAGGGGAGGUUUCUGAAAUUAUCCCUAGAUAGUAACAUUUUUGUGUUUACUCUAUAUAAAUGUCUCAACUUUCAAACAUCAAGGUGCCAAUUUCAAUCUUAUUGAAUAUGCUUGUGAUUGUGGGUAACGUUACUCAAUCUCUCCUAUUCAUUUUUCCCACAAUUGGCGCAGGUAGAAGAAAAGAAGAAGAAGAAAUAGGGAUUCUUCCAUGCUAAAAAUUUAGUGCAUUGUAUAUUGUAUUCUAUGGUAGUUCUUUCAGAAAGGGUAUACAUUCUUUGUCCCCCCCCCCCCCCUCUCUUUAUUUUUGAUAAGCGACAAGGCAAUAGAAGUAAAUAUUCAGUUCCAAACACAAUAGAAUAAGACUCUUGACCCCAUUAUUAAAUUGAAAGAUCAAGUUUGCACAAAUAUUUGAUUCAUUUCAAACGUGACUUAAUUGGCAAUUUUUCGAUCUCUAUCAAUUUCGAUCAACAGUUUUCCAAUAACAAUGAUGAUAUUCAAGUUUGGAUGUAACUUCAUUUCAACUUCUAUAUCAUUCUGUAUCAUCAAAUUGGGUAUGCCCUUUCACCCAUGAUCAAUGAUGAUAUUCAAGUUUGGAUGUGAAAUUAUCUUCCCCAUGCCCAUCAACAAAUCCAUGCAACAAAAAAGUCCAUAUUUCCUUGAAAAUGUCUGUAGACCAUACCAUGUUUUUCGUGGCAAAACUCAUCACACCAUCGACCCACGUAAUCCCAGAUCAACUAAUGCUAUCCUUUUUCGUUUCAUGCUUUUUAUGUUUUCUUUUCAGGUAAUAAUUUUUUCUUUUAUCAAGUAUAUUUUCUUUUUUUUCUCUCAAUUUAUAAGGUUAUUCAUCCUAUGUGCUUUGUAAAGAUAUACACACUAAUUGAGGUUCGUAAACAGCAAUAUACAUACCUGACCUUUCCCAAGUAAUCAUACUGCACAUUUGUGCAUGAUGAUAAAGACCGCAUAUACAUGGGUGCCUGCCUAGCCAUGGCGUUUCAUUCGGGUGACCACGGCUAAUAUGGCAAUGUCUGGAACUGAUACGAGUAGAUAAUAUACAACUAAAGAAAUAUUGGAAGUUUGGAUGGAAACUAAUUGUAAACAGAGAAUACAAUUCAGAAACUGGUCGAAGAAAAUUAAUGUACUUUUCCUUUUUCACUACGCAUUUAUCCGAGCUAUCAAACAACUAUUUUACUUUUAAUUCCUGUAAUUUUUUUACGACGUAGUUAAAUCAUGAAUACUGGCUUUCCACGUUUAAAGCAAACAAUGACAGAUAAUUUCUGCAUUUCGAAAAGAAUAUAUGUUGUUUUGGCAUUAUAUGGGAACUUUAUCAUGACCUUAGAGGUAAUGUUAUAGUUGGAGAACUUAAGAUUAUACUUCCGCCCCAGAAAGUCUACUAUCAUUGAAGGGUUUAACAUCUUCAAAAUGUAACGAAAGAGGAGGAAACAAAGUUAGUCCUGAAAUCACAAAAUUUGUCAAUAACCUUUUUUAUAAUGUUUUGUGUGAAAAUGAUCUUUUUCCUCUGCAACUCGGUAGGAAGAUACAAGAUGAUUUAAGGGUAGUUGUCCUGUGAUUGUACACAUAUUAAUGAUAAUACCGACUUGUGACCAAAAAAAAAAAAAAAUUUGCAGCAUUUAUUGUCUUCAAUGAAUCAAGCUUUACAACUUACAAGAGACCCUAAGUAGUGUCGGUUACCAAUCCUAGACUCAAACUAAAGUAACAUCUUGAUCUGGUUUUGGAAAAUAACCUUGUUCUUGAACUUGUGCAAUUGUCUCAUUCAAGCUGAGGUCAAAAAUUGCAGCUUCAUCCAGAGCUGACAGCCCUCAAGUACUCCCUCAAGAACCCAUCCAAUGUGGUCCUCAACCCUAUCUAAGUGGGCAUAUAUGACACUUCUUGUUAGUUUAUAAUAAUAACAUUAAUAAUAGAGAUCAUAGUGGGUAUUAAACUAUAGCAAAUCUAUGCUAUGCAGCUAUUGGUAAUUGUAUAUUUAGGCUUACCCUUUACUUAACAGCUAGCUAUUGCAUUCCUACUUCCCGUACUUUAGCGAAUCAUGGCACGGCUCUUAGAAUUUGUUAAUUUGUUGGUUUCUUGGCGUCUCCUUAAAAGCUCAAUUAGAUGCUCCUUCCACAGAUGCCUUGCACGAGCUGGCCUUCCAGAACAAAAGAUAUGUAGAAUUCUAUGGCAUUUUUCUCAAUGCUCUAUAUAUCUAUUGUCUUAUCCUCUUCAUCCUCCACUGCGUCCUUUAAAAAAAAUGCCUAAACAUUCUUCAUCUUCUUCAGUGUAAUGUAAAAGUGGUUGCAGGACAACUGCAUGAGACAAAUUUACUAUAACAUCUCAUGAACUCGAAAGAUAAUUGGUUGUGAAAGAUAUCAGAAGAAUGUGGUACUUUGGAUCUUGAUCCCAUGGUGUCAAAGGGGUGAUUCCAAAACCAUCAUCUUGAAAUUGAGAGAUGAAAGGUAAGUGACUGAGAGUCUGUCAAUGAAAUUAUGAUAUUUUAUAUAUAAAAAAAGUAUUAAAAAUAGCCUCAAUACGUUAUUAAUCACUUUUUAGUUUUCAAUCAAAAUGUUAAUUCUAGGAUACGUGUAGGACUUUAAAGAAAUAUAAGAGUGGACUAUUGCAGGUUAAAAUGUUGUAUCCUAUUGAUAGACAAGAAUAACCAUGAAUCUUCUAAUUUUGAGUCUUUAUGUUAACAGAAGCUAUUGUUCAUCGGCAACUAUAUCCGUAGUCAAACAAUAUUUUGGAAUUCUUUUCCAAAAAAAAAAAAAUAUUUUUUGGAAUUAAAUUGCUUGCAGAAAGCUAUUUUGAAAUAUUCAACAAGUCUGUUUAAUUAAAUUGAGCCCAUUAAUGAACUUGCAUCUUGUUUCAACAUUCAAGUUUGGCUUACAAUUAUAAAGAAUUAGCUCUCGAUAAGUCGCAUUCGCUUUAAAGAAAGUCCUUGUCAAAGUGGGCUUCCAACUCUAAUUAUCAAAAUUAAUUCUAGCCUCCAAAAUUCUCAUAUCCAGCAUAUUAUUUUUCUUUUCCAGGUAACAUAUAUAUAAUUGAGUACUGAUACAGUUGAAUAGUUGGAGGGCGAAGAAACGAUUAUGGGCCUCACCAUUAUAUAUGUCCUUAGAUUCCAGAAUAUCAAUGCUGAUGCUAUAAAUAGUCUCAUAAUAUGAUCUGGAUUCAGUCCAAAAUUUGUGGUCUCAUUUAAUUUGCAUCACCCACUGUGCUGUUCAAAAUCAGUGUUCAGAGUUCAGAGUCCAUGAACACGUAUUCUUGCGUGGAAACUAGCAUGGUGCAAAUCUUUUAUUGUUUAUUCACUUGUCAUAAUAGUUCUGAUCAUACAACAUAGCCAACAAUUACACAGAAAUUUGUGAAUCAACCAAGACAAGGAGCAAAGUUCAAGUUAACGGUGCAAGUUUCAAUAAAAAAAAGCUAAGGAUUAGGUUGCUUUUUACCAAGUUAAAUGAUUUCUGUUAAGUUCGAAAGGUCAGCUUGUAAAGGCUAUAAACCACGAUGUAGGACCAAUUGUUACAAACUGCACUCCCCAAGCUCACAAGGGUUUAUGUAAUGAGCAGAAGACUCCUUCCCAGUUCCCACAAAGAGUAUCAUUUCUUGAUGCCAGAACUUGUCACGCUAGCUCUUUAAGGUAUUCUAAUGUUUGAUUUGAAAGAAUUGACGCCACAAAGUUGCCUCUGAAUUAAAGGCACGUUAAAUAGUGGAUGCUUUGGGUACUUUGUAUUGUAGACAUCAACUUUCAACCACUAUAUGAUCUUUGACCUCAUUUUCUUGGAGGAAACAAUAUUCUGAAAAUUACUUUAAGAAAGAAUGACACUUUAUAUGCAUAAAGUCCAUCAUUUACAUCUUUAAAUCAUCAACAAUUUGGUAACAAUCCAAUCACACAAAUGCUUUGGAACAAAUCACAGUAUAUUAAUAACCACCAAAUUAUUUGCCAGGGACAAAGUUUGUUGCAUAUGCCCAGGCAUUGUUGUUCACUGGAUCAGCAAGGUGAUCAGCUAGGUUCUCCAAAGGUCCUUUUCCAGUUACAAUAGCUUGAACAAAGAAACCAAACAUGGAAAACAUAGCCAACCUACCAUUCUUGAUUUCCUUGGCUUUAAGCUCAGCAAAAGCCUCAGGAUCAUCUGCCAAUCCAAGAGGAUCAAAGCUCCCUCCAGGAUAAAUAGGAUGAGUCACCUCCCCAAGCGGUCCACCGGCAAUUCUGUAGCCCUCCGCAGCCCCCAUUAAGACGACUUGUGAAGCCCAGAUGGCUAAAAUACUCUGUGCAUGAAUUAAGCUUGGGUUACCUAAAUAAUCAAGCCCACCUUCACUGAAAAUUUGUGAACCAGCUUUGAACCAAACUGCUUCUCCAAACUUGACACCAUUUCUUGAUAAAAGCUCAGGAAAAACACAACCAAGUGCUCCAAGCAUAGCCCAUCUUGAAUGAAUAACUUCUAACUCACGGUUCUUGGCAAAUGUCUCGGGAUCAGCUGAGAGGCCGGCUGUAUCCCACCCGUAAUCACCAGGGAAUUCUCCGGUAAGGUAAGACGGCGGUGAGCCGGAUAAGGGGCCUAAGUAUAGAACUCUGUCUGGACCAUACCACGGACUCCCUGAUGAUGGUUUUGGUUUUGCUACAGUUUUUCUCAUGGUAACUCUUCCUUCACCAAGUCGCUCUGAUGUUGAUGGGGCGAUUUUUACGGCUUUUCCUGCGAAUGAAGGUGAUGAAAGAGCCAUUGUUGAGGCAGCCAUGGUUGUUUUGAGGAAAUGGUUUUGAUCAGCGGUUGAAUGUGGAAGAAACUAUUAUAAUUUGUUGAUGAGGACUUUCUUGAAUGGAAUAUGAUUUUAUAGGUGUUGGAGAAGUGAAAAAGGUCGAAGGUCCUCAUCCAAUGCUAUCUUUAUCUUUUUUCCCAUUGGUGAGAAUAGGCUUUGGGAUUUUCUUGUGUAGUCUUCUUCUCUCUUUUAGGCUUCAAACAAUCUGUUAUGAUAUACUACUAGAUUUAUUUACACUUUUUCCUUUUCUUGAAAUUUUCAAGGAUAUUAGUUGCAUUUAUUCCAGCCAAUAAAACUAGUCCACGUACUGAGUUGAGAUGAAAGUAUGGCUUUUUUUUUGGUUUUUUCCUCUUUUGAAGGAUAUUGUGAAUACCCCAUUGGAUUAUUUGUGUAUAUUGAUUCAACUUGGUUGAGACAUACACAUGUUUUUUAUCACAUAGGGAAAAAAAAAGAGAUGUGGGUAUAAACCUCAUCCCUCUAGCCGAAAAUCGAAAACACAACAAUAGCAAAUUUAUACAUUUGCCACUACUACUUGCAUUCAUCUAUUAUCGAGAACUCAAUGUAGAAAAGAAAUGUACUAUACACAAUAUGGCAUUGAAAGUGAUGCAUUGAAAACAAAGGAGGAACUCAAAUAACCUUCCAAAAUCAUCCUCAAGAAGAAGGCUUCCAUUUCUUCCAUGGCUUUAAACUUCAGCACUGUUCCUUUAUACCAAAAACCCAAUUCAAUUAUUGUUCCAAAAUAUAAGCCCUUUUUAUGUUCAUCUCCUUCACCUUCUUCUGCCAUAGCUGCUGUAUCUGAGAAAACAGGUGGUGGAGUUGCAGAGGAGGACCGUCCUGCUGUUUCUGGUACACUCUGUUGUUCUUGAAUGUUUUUUCUUUACAUUUCUUUCAACUAAUCUAAAUGAACUAGGAAAUAUGUCCAUCUCAUGACCGCAAUUUUCUUGUUUCUUGGCAAUUUUGCUGCCACUUUGAAGUAAGCCAGUUGUUAUAUUUUGCGUGUGUGUGUGUGUGUGUUUUCUUUCUUUCUUUUAUUAAGAAGCCUCUUCAUUAUUUUGACUGGGAAAUGUUGCUUCCUGAUUAACGAGCCUGAGCUACUGCAUAUUCCAGUCCAUUUUUGUUACAAAAGAAAGCUCUAGUUUUUGUUUAACUAUUGAUUGACAUAGUUUAGCUGACUGAUUACUUCCACUUUUCUCAAAGGGUCCUCUUCUACUCGGAUGCAACUGGAUCUCUUGGAGCAACUCACUGGUGGCUCACCCGUUGAUGGUACUUCAACUCAAAUUACAAUCUCAACUCCAGAAACAUGAACAUAGAUUAUUGAAUACUACUACAUUACAUUUUAUAUCUGUAACGACAUUUGCUGUAGGUUAUGAGAGUGAUGGGAGCUCCCCUGGACUAACAAUUCGGGAUCAGCUUGCUAAUUUGGUUGGAGAGAGAGAUGACGAUUUUAUCGUUCCACUUGGAAAAAAUCUGAAAAAGGUUAGCCCAAAGUUCUUAACUAUUUCACAGAAGAGGAACAUCAAAAGACAGGCUUACCUGGAUGAAGUAUCUCAGAGGAAUGAUUCAGUUUUCUUUGCUACAAUUGGAGCAUUUGUAAUCCUUCCACCUGUUAUUAUCUUAGGAAUUGCUGUAGCAACUGGCUAUGUCCAGCUUUUCCAUGACAUAUAAAUGUAUGGUAUGUUGAAAAAUCACUCUCAACACUAGCAUGAUGAAGUAGGCAAUGCUGCAAAAUGUUCUGAAAGAUCUUCUGUUAUAAUUGGCAUUCACCAAAACAGUUGCGUCCUUAUUCUAAACCUCUACAAGAAUAGAUGAUUGUCUUUACACGUGAAUCUUUGGCAUCUUACAUCUUCAUGGCUCAAUUGUCUACGUGUACUUAAAUAUAUGGCUUAUCCAGAUUGUAAUUGCAUAUGAGUACAAUAUGAAAAGAAUAUUUGUGUUGUUGCACCAUUUUUUAAUCGUAGCAAUAUCUAAAACUGAUUGGCACUUGGUUCGUCCUGAUCUUUUUCCUUCCUUCCUCUGUUUCUUCCUUUGUAAUUAUAGUUUCCAUAAAGGUCUGAACUUGGUUUUUAGGGUGAUAAUGUGCUGGUGCAUAUAAGUUCUCGUGUAAGAUGCUUGUCUUGAUUGUUAAGUUGUUUGCCAAAAGCAUCGAAUCGCAUAGCUGCGAUUACUUGGCAUCUUACGUCAGUCUGCUGUGUAAUCCACUGGUCAUCUAAGAUUGAAUGUGCUAUAGUAAUCUAACUACACUCAAACAUCAAACUGUUCCUUGUUUUGCAACCGAAGUGUACAUGUUUGUGGGAAAUACAUGAUAUUGGAAGUCUGGCCGCAUAAACUGAGGGAGCAAAUGACGCCUUAGAUGUAUAAAGUGCAAACCAACGAAUACUCCGCUUUUCUAGCGGCGUCAAGCUAUCACACUGGAGUUCAAAAUGAAGAAUGGUUAGAAAGAAAUCCCAUGUCAGUAGAAGUAAGCUUUUUCCUAGAUUCUUCUGUCAACAAGGCUCUUCUGCUGUUUCCUUCUGCUUAUGUGUUGGUGAAAUCUCUUGUUCGGUAGGUUGUACAGGCUCAUUGCCUAAAAUUACUCCCUGUUUCUGAAUGUACUCCCAUUUUUCUUGGAAAAGAUAGAGUAAGGCGAUAAUACAGAUUUCCGCUGUGAAAAGAAUGGUCCAGAUUCGUGCACUUCUUGAAGUUUUCUUACCAUAAGCUUGUAAACCAGUGUAUAUAUUGAUGAUUCCCAGCACAGAAACUGCAGUCCCUAGUAACCAGUGAACAAAAAACCAUCCACUCCUUGCGUUGCUGCCUCUGAAAAAAAACAUGGUAAAUGCACUCAGAAACUAAAUGUCCCUAAUCAAUUGCAUCUCUGAAAAUUAAAAAAAUAUAUGUAUAAUUUCUAUGGUGGACAUAUCACAUGCUUUACCUAUGUGGUCGUAUUAUACCAACCAACAUUUGCAGCCAGACAAGACCGUAAAGCGCUAAUCCCAACCUUUGAUGAUCAUUGUUGAAAGCGUUCUCAAAGUUUAUAAAGGACAUUAUUGCUCCAGCUGUCAAAAGGAGAACUGACAGUAUCUGCAGAACAGAAAUAUUAUCUGUUAGAUGAUGAUGAAGGAUAGCUUGUAAUUCAUACCAUUGUAUGAAUAACCUGGGUCUAUUGAUCUGGAACAACAUAAACAUGCUAACGUUUUAUGUUAAUCAGGAAAUUCCUGAACUUAGCGUAUUAACUGUGUGCAAUGUAUACGUGUGUAUUACAGCUUAUGCCAAUUAAGAAACCUAAAAAGUUCUUUAUGGCUUUUAAACAACAGAAUUUUCAUAAUUGCCUUUUCUUCGUCUCCAAGUAUCCAUUAUGAAUAACAAAAAACAUCUUUCCGGAUUAAGAAAUAUGAACUAAGUAAUUAUUAUCAACAGACGGUGGGUAAGAUUAAUUAUUUGCAACAUGGGAAUCAUUACUCCUUUUUCUUGAACCAUCAUGAACCAAGAAAAUCAAUCUCACCAAGAAAAUUUUCUAGCAGACAAUGUUUAACAUAAUUAUAGUUGUCAUGCAAUUAUCUGGAGGAUAGCAGUUAAUAUUGAAGUGAAGAAUGGCAAUCAAAAGUUAACUGUAACUGAAAACAACCAACUUUGACUUGCCUGUAAAACACCAUGAAUGUAGAGUAAGAUUUUUAGCCGUCUUCCACAUUCCUCUCUGUUUGACUUCCUCAUUACAAGUAUUCCAACAGGCACCAAGAAACCCAUGGAAGCCCAUAACAGAAAUCCGUGGAUCGCAAUCUCAGAUGAUAGUUUAGCAGUCAUCUAAUUGAUAAGGAAAAGUUUUACCGUAAAUUUCUUCAAAAAAGGAUUACUUUAUACAUGAAUUCCUUAUCGAAAUGAUCUAAAUAUUAAUGAAUCCAAACCUAGAAUUAGAACACCUGAUAUGCCAUGCAUGAAAAUGAAUUACCUGUGUUUUGUUUUUGCCGCUUGAAUGAGUAUUGCCUGUUUUUAUAUGGACGAUAGACGAGCACACAACUAAUGGAAGUUGAGUAAGAACAGCCAGGGGCAAGCUCCUCUGCUUGUAAAGCAUGAUCAAACCCUUCAAGGACCAAUACUGCUUGUCUUGUGUUUUGAGGCUUCAAAUUACCAGUAAAAGCUGCAAUUUAAUUUUGACUCUUGAAUUAUAGAGAGAGCAGCGGCCACAGAACUUGUUCUCUUAAAUACAUAUAUUCUCCUAGGCAGGCUCAACUACAUUGCUUUUUCCACCACUGCAAUGCCCAUCUUUAUGACAACUAGUUUAUUUGCUGUUGUAUAGAGAACAUUAGGGGAAGUUGAGCAUUAAUCUUCUCGGAGGAGCAUCUCCUCUUUCUGUCUAAAGAAGCUAAAGCUGGACCUCUGUGAAUCAACUAUUUUAUGCACAUUCCUUUUGAAAUCCACCGGCAAGACUUUUUAUAGCCAAAGAAGCAAGAAAUGGUUGUUUGGACAUUGGCUGUUGUUUCAACCUGGUGGGACCACUUUAACAGGCUUUUUCAUUUGAUGGGAAGAAUAUUUGAUUACAAAGUAGAAGAAUGUCAGUAGUAUGUCAAAACUGAAAAGAAGAUGACUCAGUAGUCGACAGAAAGUAAUACAAAAUAUUAUCCUUUACGAGUCCAACGUCCAGAGAUCACUACAGAAGGUGUUAAACUUUUGUCUUCCUUAAUGCUCGAACAGACUGGGGAUGUGUAUACCAUCCCUUUGUGGGAUUUUAGCCUCUGCUGGAAUGAACGCUACUUUUGACCAAAUAUCUUCCAAUUAGACAGACAACUUUUCUUGAAAAUCAACACGUCUUCAUAAACUUGCUCCCGGUUUCUGAUUUGCAUCCUAUUUUAUGUUCUUUUCUUGAAGUUCUGUUGUGGAAGUCGAUAAUGUGGAGAGGCUUUAUGGCAUAAUCAGGCAUAAUUGUUGAUGUAGUACAGAUUAGAUUGUUUCUGCUGUACUUUAAAUCAGUGGCAUAAUAUGAUUACUUCCGAGGCAUCUCGCAGUUCAAAGACACCAGCAAAUAAGCUAAUCUAAAGUUCUGUACUUAAAUCAUUAUAACCACCAUAAUGGAUAACUAUAGAGGUAUUUAAGUUAGAUUUUCAGCUCAUAAAAUAGGUAAGAAGUACCAUCUUAGAAUCAUUAUGUGGUUCUUACAACUUUGCAUAUCAUGUAUUCGUAAUCAACUGAUCAGGUUACUGAAAUUGAUUUGACACAGCACCCCCUCUUGAAAAGGUACGUGGCCCGGAAAAGCUAUGGCUACUACAGCACAGAGAGCAUGAAGAGAAUGGUUGAGCAUGAUAAUUUAGCUCUUUGCAACUUUUUUCUUGGGGGGGGGGGGGACCUCCAUUAUCAAGCACUGGAUUUGAUUCUUGGAUGCCAUGAUAACAAUUUGGAGCCUACGUUGUUGAUGCAUCUGUUUGCCUUUAUGUUUCACGUGGUCCAGAUCCAACAAUGCACUAAUUGAUCUUCCAAUGCAUGGUUUAUACAAUCCAACGACGUACCUGAGGAGUGAAUUGUCUCCAUCGAAGUGAUUCAGCAGCAUUACAGGGAGGAACCAGUUUCCUUGAAUGUCUUAUAUUAGAAGAAGUGCAACAAUUUUGAAAUUUACCCUUCAGCUCCUCUAUAGCAACAAGCUCGUGAUGGUUGGUGAAGACUGAAAAGAGUGAUGAGACUAGAAAAUUUGCAGCGGUAAUAAUAACAGUAGUAACAACAAAUAAUGAUUGUAAUAGCUAAUCAUGAUGACAGAAACAGGACCAUGCAUGAACAAACCAAACCCUGGUAUGCAUGCUCUUGUUAACUGUCAAUUGAUUGAUGUUUUCUCGUAUGCAUGGUGAGUAAGUAUACACAUCAAUUAUUCAAAUAAGCCUUUUCCUUUUUUCUUCUUUGUUUUUGCCUUUUUCCACAAAAUAUUUGAACGCCAAAUUGUUAAGCACCAUCAAGAAAAAAGUCUCUGGUGCCCAAAGCUGAUUAGCAUUGUUCAUAUUCCCUUUUUCUACCACCCGACACAUUCCUCGCCAGACGACUCAUAUUUGAUGGAAAUCAAACUAACUAGAGCUUUCUUACUAUGACUGCACGUAGUUGAACAAACUAUCGGAUUACAACUACAAAAUCAAGAUGCAAAAAUGUGGUAAUAUAUAUGUAGGAAGAGGAGCGUGAUCUUAACCAAAUUGGAGGAACCUGCGAAGGCUUCAACUUUUGGAGUAGGUGUCACGUAAGGGUCGGAAGCAGCGGCGCAUGGUUUAGACUUGAGACCGCACACAUGAGCUAAUAAUUUCAUCUUUUGCAAGAAGGGGAUGGAUCUGUUAAAAUUCGAUCCCACCACUACUUUCUUCGGUCAAAAAACUUAAUUAAUAAUAAAAUUUCUUCCACUGGAAUUAUGAAAACUUAGGUCCCAUUUCGAUUGCUAUUUUUUAGAGAUUUUAUCAACAAAAAAAAAUUAUUAUACCGAUUUGAUAUAUAUGAAGUAAAUGAUGAUGAAUGAAAAACGUAUUCACGACAAAGUUAAAAAUUUUUCUACGAAAAAACUACAAUCUAAACAUCAACUUAACGAAGAAUUAGGACCCACGUGUUCAGCUAACUUUUUUUUUCUCCUUUUAUAUGUAUUAAAAAAUGUUUUCAGAUAAAUCUUAAGAGGAACGGCAAUUCCAGACCAAAAAUAAUACCUUCUUUUUUUAAAAUAAAAAUAAUGCCUUCAAACAUGGAAAUUUUUUUGUUGAAUUUUAUAAAUCAGCCGUUGGUAUAUUAUUUAAAAAAUUAUACGUUUAAUCACUUUUUACUUUUAAGUACUUUUUUUUAUUUUACAUAUAUCAUACGAACAAAAAAUAAAAAAAAAAGAAAAAAAUGCACCCGUGGCCAUUACCAAUUGGUCCAAUUCAAGGGGAACUUCGGCUCAAGGAAUUUUAUCAUGCAGUACAUUCUUUCUUUUCCUUCCUGGAGGACAAAAUUAAGACAAAAUUUUACUCCCCGACCCGUAGUUUUUACUAUAUUCUUUUAGAACCCCCGAUUUUUCUUGAACUUUCUUUUCCUGUUUUUUUGUCCUUCUCUUUCCUACAGCACUCUCCAGUCUAUCAAAUUUCUCAGCGAUCACAUCUACUAAAUUUCCGACCUUGACUGAUCGCCGGCCACUGGUAACCACCGCAAUCAUGGCCGCAGUCUCAGUGGCGGCGGAAUGGCAGCUCCUCUACAACCGCUACUACCGGAAACCCGAACUGUACCAAAUGCAAUGGAAGCAUGUGGACCUCACGCGGAACAAGGUCGCCUGCGCACCCUUCGGCGGUCCUAUCGCAGCUAUCCGCGACGACGCCAAAAUCGUCCAGCUCUACUCCGAAUCCGCCCUCCGGAAACUCCGUAUCUUCAACUCUGCCGGCGUCCAGAUCUCCGAAACUGUCUGGAGAAACGCCGGCGGACGGUUAAUUGGCAUGGCGUGGUCCGACGACUUAAAAUUAAUUUGCAUAACCCAAGAUGGCACCGUUUAUUGCUACUCCUUCCACGCUGAGCUCAUCAAGACCCUAUCCCUUGGUCAAGACGGAUUAAAACACAGCAUUGUGGAGUGCGUUUUCUGGGGAAACGGCGUCGUAUGCAUCAAUGAAGCCGUCGAGCUCUACUGCAUACCCGAUUUUAAUAAUCCGAGCCCAAUAAGGCUGGCGGAUACGGGUUUGGAAGAUAUGCCGUUGUGUAUGGCCGUGAUCGAGCCACAAUAUACGAUGUCGGGAAAUGUGGAGGUUUUGUUAGGGGUUUCGGAUUCUGUGAUGGUUGUAGAGGAAGAUGGGGUGCAGCAGACUGGCGCCGAAAUUGGGCCAAUUCAGAAAAUGGUGGUUUCCAGAAAUGGAAAGCUUAUAGCUUCCUUCACUCAUGAUGGAAGGCUUCUUGUACUCUCCUCGGAUUUUUCCAACAUUAUUUUCGAGUACACUUGUGAGGUAAGGCUGUCUAGCCUGCUGCUUACAUGAUUAUUUGUUUUUUUUUUCGCUGUAUUGCCAAUUAAACGUUCGAUCGGAAAAAUGUUGAAUUGGAAAUAUUUUUUGUUGUUUGUAGUCAGCAUUGCCUCCUGAGCAGUUAGCUUGGUGUGGAAUGGAUAGCGUGUUGCUUUACUGGGAUGAUAUGCUUUUGAUGGUUGGUCCUUAUGGAGAUCCAGUUCGCCACCUUUAUGAUGAACCGAUUGUGCUUAUUCCGGAAUGUGAUGGUGUGAGGAUACUUUCCAAUACUAAUAUGGAGUUCCUGCAACGUGUUCCGGAUUCUACUGUAUCCAUUUUUCAAAUCGGUAGUACACAGCCUGCUGCUUUACUAUAUGAUGCCUUGGAUCACUUUGACCGCCGAAGUGCUAAGGUGAGGGUCUCCUUUGUCAGAGUUUCUCAACGUGUGUUCAUGUGUUCUAGAUAUAUAAGGCUGAAAAGAUUUUACAGUAGUAGGUUUGUCUUAAGGAUCUGUUUGCUGUUAGGUAAACAGGGAAAUAUGUGAGGAACGUAGCUGGAUCACUUUUCCUGUUUGUAUAUCUAAUUUUGAGUAUCAUACGCAUCAUUGAAGAAAGAAAAUGUUCUAAUGGAAAAGAAGAGUUUUUUCAACCCUUUUGUUUAUAUGCAUGGUUUUGGUGAUUAGACUGUAAUUUGAUCCUCCUUCAUUUGGGAAGUUAUGCGGCUAUAUGGUGUUUUCCUAGGAGCCGCUUCAAGAAUAAUAUUAUGUUUUGUGAAAUCAUUUUCUGCAAAGGCACCUAUUGCUAAGUGGCUUAAACUGCUUACUAAUCGAGAAUUGAUCAUUAAAUGGCAACUAUCCUACUGCUGAUUAGCAAGGCGUCUGCUUUUGAGGAUAAAGAAGAAAUGAGGCUACUUUGGUACCCUGCUUCAGUUGUUUCAUAGUUUCCUGCUGGUCUCCUCUUCUCAUUUCUCUGCCUUUGCUUACUUUCACUAUAGUUAGCAAUUUUCGGAUAAUGUUCUUUUAGUAAGUAGAGCCUAGACACACCGCAAAUGCUCCAUAAAUUGGAAAUGUAUUGUUACGGCAGUAGAAGACUAGAAGUCGAUCUGUAUUUGUGUUCUAUACUUGGAUAGAAUAUUUUCAUUAUACACGUGUCUUAGAGUGCUGUUGCUUCUUUGUAAAUGCCUUGUUAGUUUAUUAACAAUUUUCAGAGACUUGUACAGCUAAAUGUCUUCUCUUCAUGAAUACACACAGUAUUUUCCAUGUCCUUGCAUCAUGAGAGCGUUGUUUUCUCAGUUUUGUGCUAAAUCUUCGAGCAAUAUGUGUUCAUCAGAUGUUCCAGUGCAAGAAUGGAAUACUAUGGUAUUGUAACAGUAUAAUUUUGUUAUCCAUACAAAGAAAUCUCAACAAUGAAAUUUUCUUCCAGGCAGAUGAAAAUUUGAGACUUAUUCGCUCUUCGUUGCCUGGGGCUGUUGAAGCUUGUAUAGAUGCUGCAAGUCAUGAAUUUGAUAUUUCACAACAACGAGCGUUACUCAGAUCUGCAAGCUAUGGCCAAGCCUUUUGCAGGUCAGUGGUUAUAAUCUUAUUGCAGUAUGUGAACAUCAAAUGUCAUCUAUGAUGAGAAAAUUGGGUUUAGGCUUGAGAGUGUCGUCUUUAAUUUAAUGCCUCACAUGGAUGAGCUAUUCAAAUUAUCUUCUUUCCAUUUGUCUUAUGUAUGAAAACUGUAUGUACUUCAACACAAUCAAUUAUAUAAGCUAGUGGGAAAGACACAAACCAAUAUGUGCAUACUAGAAGAAAAAUGUAUUAGAAAUUAGCAAGGUGUGGAAGUUAUUGGAAGUUACCAUAAGUUCAUGGUUUUCUGUUGGUCUUUUUGUUGUAAAUAACAAUCAAUGAUGUAUAAAUGGAAAUCUGAAAAGUGACAUAAAUGAUAACACCAAUGCCCUCAUGCCUUUGCUGUAUCUAUGGUAUAUAUGGAUGAUUAAGCGUCAGGCUGUGGGUAAUGUUUUGUGUCUUACCCUUAAUAUUUUCAAUACUAGCAGAUGACAUCUCUUCUUAAUUAAGACUCUUAACUUUUUCUUUGAUUGUUUACUCAGGUGCUCUUCUUUGUUUUUCUACACCCCAGUCAAAUAUUAAAAAAUUUGCAUAUUGUUAAGGUGUUCUAUAUUAUUGACUGAGAAAAACCAAAGUUUCUAUGUCCACGUUUGAAUACUUUAUGUUGCUUCACAUCAUAUGGUUCAUGCAUUUUUUAAAUCUAUUACCUAGACUUACACCCCUUCAUUACAGUCCCUUUUACAUGGAAAGGGAGAUAAAAAAAUUGGAUUGUUUAAUGCCUUGAAACAAGAAAUAUUGGAUUAUUCCAUUCAGUUUCACUAGGUAUGCAAACAGUGUAAAAAUAGGUAGAGGCUAUGAUGACAUGCAACAAGUGUAUACAAAACUUGCUGCUACUUUGCUUGAUAUUUUCCAACCUGACGUUUCUCAUUCUGAGAUUGAAAUUAAUAAAUAAAUGCAUUUAUAUUCAUAUAUUGUACUCAGCAAGCUAGAGAAAUGAAGGAUAAAAUGGAGUUGUUUCUUUCUUUUACCCGUGCCACAAAACUUCAGUUGGAUCUCUUUUCCAUGCUGCUGGAAGAAAAUUGUUUUUCUGAUUCUUGUCUUGAUAAUGAUAACCAGUUGGCUUUGGCAGCCAAUUUCAGCGCAAUCGCAUCCGUGAUACGUCUAGAACUUUACGAGUUCUGAAUGCUGUACGCCACCCUGAUGUCGGGAUUCCACUCAGUAUUCAACAGUAUAAGGUCCUUCUUGCUUCACAUGUUAAUUUUUUUUGGAAUUUUUAACUAUUUUCUAUAAUUGUUGAAGGCUAUCAAGUUGUCUUUCUCUGUCUCCUAUCAGUUGCUUACACCAUCAGUUCUGAUUGGACGUCUGAUUAAUGCUCAUCAGCACCUUAUAGCUUUGCGGAUAUCAGAAUAUUUAGGGAUAAAUCAAGUAAGUUAUGAUGUUGUUUCUGUUAUCAGUAUAUUGCAUUUGACUUUUUCCUGUAAGCUGAAAAGGGCGAAUCUAUUGGUAAACUUAUUUCAUCCAAGCCAAGUCUGUGUUCUGUAUGUGACGACAGUAUAUAACUAUACCAUUUUUUUGUUCUUUUCACAUGUUAGUAAUCUAUCGUGUGUUUAUUCUCUUUUAUUUUUUGAACUCAAUGAUAUCUUUUCAUUCUUUCAUUUGCAUCAUGUGCAGGAAUUAAUAGGAGCCUGUAGGGUAUAUUCUUCUGCGGUUUAUUGGAUUUUCAGUGCACUAACUUUUCUUUGUUAAGAGCCCAUUCAAUGUCAUGAUUCAUUUUGUAGGUUAAUAGUACUUUGUCACUGUUUGGCCUCAAAGUUUUCCGAUCUGAUUUGUGUUGAGGGCGGAUGUUUUGUUGGGUUUAAGAUAGUGAAGUUGUACUUGGUGUGAUACGUUGACUUCUUCUUUUCACCCUUCCUAUUACCCUCAACACUUCAUUUUUUGAAUCUUUCUUCUCAUAUUCAUUAUUUGAUCUUGAUUAUGUGAUGAAAAUAGUUUUUGCAAGCUUGCAGAAAUGGCUUUAGAUAGAAUGAUCACAAACAAGAAAGGAUAGAUAGAAUGGUCUACUUCAACUAUUUGUUUGUGCUAAAUUAUAAAACUACAACUGCUCCAAAUCCACUUUUAUUUUAAUUCUUUAUAUGGGUUAUUUUUCUUUUCACGUAGCAUAUGAUUCCAUACUAGGCUUUGUCCUGCUUACUCUUUUGGGAUUUUCUGCAGGAAGUCGUCAUCAUGCAUUGGGCGUGUAACAAAAUAACUUCUUCAUUGGCAAUCCCCGAUGCUGAUCUCCUUCAAAUCUUGCUCGAUAAGGUCUUUGUUCAGAUUUAGUAAUUUCUACAAUCUUUUCUGCUCAUAAUGUGUGGCUUAAUCAAUUGUUUGGCAAUUGCAGUUGAAGUUGUGCAAAGGUAUAUCUUAUGCGGCAGUUGCUGCCCAUGCUGAUAAGAGUGGCCGCAGGAAAUUAGCCGCCAUGCUAGUUGAACACGAACCUUGUUCCUCCAAGCAGGUUCCUUUGUAUUUUCCUUGUAUAGUUCUUUUGUGAAGUAUGCUUGCUAUUUUUUUUUUUUUUACCAUGUUGGUAUCUUCAAUGUGCCUUGCGGUUUCUAGAUGACUGCUGUGCUUUUUCUUCUGCAUGAUGCUUGGUUAGGUUCCUCUCUUGCUUAGGAUCGGAGAAGAAGUUACUGCUCUAGCCAAGGCAACUGAAAGUGGAGAUACUGAUCUUGUUUAUCUUGUCCUGUUUCAUAUCUGGCAGAAGGUGCUUGAUUACUUUAAGAGUAGUAUUUUAUCCCUCAAUAAAUGUUUAUUUUAUUAUUGAGGAGUACUAACUUGUCAAACAAAGAAUAUCCAUCACGUGAUGACAUUUUGUUUGUCCCUUUACUGCUAAUGUUCCAGGGACCAACUAUGGAGUUUCAUAGAACAAUACAUGCCAGGUCACUGGCACGUGAUUUAUUCAUAUGCUAUGCAAGGUAUGUGUGUUCAGUGGGUUUAGUUUUGUUUUGUCCUCUUUCUGCUGCUUCAAAUUUAUAGUUGACAUAAUACAUGAAAUUCUUUUCUUUUCUAUGGUGUCAAAGUUGUAGUAAUACUGGCAUCUUUUUGUUCUUCAGGUGCUAUAACCAUGAAUUCCUGAAGAAUUUUUUCAUAUCGACUGGAGAAAUUCAGGUUAGUUUAGAUUAGCUUACUAUCAAGGGUUAGUUUUCAUUCUUUUCGGAAUUAAAAUAAUGUGUUUGGAUAGGAGUGAAUUUGAAGUCUUAUUUGGAAUAAUUACUGUAGCACUUUUUGUGAUGUGAUGCAUAUGAGAUGAAAAGGUGGUUGGGAAGAUAAAAGGGUGUCUUGGAAAACGUGUUUGUGAUGCAGGCAAAUAAUUUUUGUGCAAAUGUUACCUAUAAUGUAAGAAAUAAUUCUAUAGCGUUGUUGUAUGUUAUGUCAACUGGGUUCAGUUGAGAGCUGUCACCAAUCGUGACUCUUCCUGUUUAAUGAUGCUUGAACUCAUGGUUGGAUUAUAAAUAAAAUUUUGUUUGUCAACCACUGGCUGACAUUUCGUUUGUAUCUCCAAUAUUUAGUGAGAGAGAAACUAUUUUAGUAACUUAGCAGCUGCAAUUCCAUGGAGGCUGUUAUGAUGUGUGGGAAAUUUUGUAUCAAAACACGAAUUACAUGAGAUUUUUCAUUGUUGGGGUGCAAUAUAAAUUGAUUUAAAUUGUUGAAGCAUCCAGCUUUUACUGCUUGUUGUCGAUGUAUACAUGAUAGUUUUCUGCGUUUUGUUGCCUCAGUAAUUGAGGUUAUAUUCCUUCCUUCAAAGGUGAUACAACAGUUCAAGGUUAUAUCAUUUUUCUAGGAUGCGGCUUUUCUAAUGUGGAAAGAGUCAUGGGAAUUGGCAAAGAACCCAAUGGCAAGCAGGGGAUCUCCCCUUCAGGGUCCUCGGAUAAAGCUCAUUGAGAAUGUGCAGAAACUUUUCUCUGAAACCAGGGAACAUGUUUUUGAGUCAAAGGCAGCUGAAGAGCAUGCAAAGUUGUUGAGGUGACAUUUCAUCCAGCACAUUAGAAUAUGAUCAUUUUUUGACUUCCUCUGCCAAGCUCUUGUUAAUCGAUAUGAAGCUUCAAGUUUGAGGUUAUUGCCACAUUGUGCUGUUAGUUGCUUUAUUAUGAGAGUGACACCAGAGAUGAUGCUUGCAUUGCAUACGUCAAUUAGCAUAUUAGCUUUAGAUAAAAACUUCUUUUGCUACUGUUAGACACACAUGACAGUUUGUACUAGGAGGCUACCAAACAAAGUCCUCUUGUCCUGUGGACCAUAAAGCUGUAUAUUUUUUCAUUUGAUUUGAAAAAUAUAUUUUGAUUUCUUCUGCUCUUUGGAUGGUAAUGCUCGAUGUGUAUUAACUGCAGGAUGCAACAAGAGUUGGAGGUCACCACAAAGCAGCCUAUUUUUGUGGAUUCAAGCAUCAGUGAUACAAUUCGAACAUGUAUUGUACUGGGAAAUCAUCGGGCUGCUCUGAAAGUUAAAACAGAAUUUAAGGUCUGAAAAUGUUUGUAUUUUCAUUUCCUUCUAUUAAUUGGAUAAGAUUACACGUGAAGGAAGAUGUUGGGAUGAUACAUCUCUUCCUUUCUCAUGGACUGUCAUGUUAGUUAUCAUGCACUUUCUCAAUCUGGACAUUGUGAUUAUGAAACUUGUGUAAAAUGAUUUAGGUUUCGGAGAAGCGUUGGUAUUGGCUUAAAGUAUUUGCUUUGGCAACAAUCAGGGAUUGGGAUGCUCUGGAGAAAUUCUCAAAGGAGAAAAGACCACCCAUUGGUAAGCUGAAAACGUGUGUCCAGAAGCAUUUACAAUACCUUUUUUGACUUUGUUUGUCUUGAAGUAUAUGCGGUGGCAUAUGAUAUUCCUUUAAUUUGAUGAACUCCCUCAUCCCCUCCAUUUCCUUCCAUUUGUAGGCUAUCGACCAUUUGUGGAGGCAUGUAUUGAUGCUGAUGAGAAAGGUGAAGCUCUUAAAUACAUACCAAAGCUGUCUGAUCCUAGGGAGAGAGCUGAGGUAAGCAUGGCUGGGAUUUAUAUUCAGUGUGACUGCAUGAUGUGUCCAUUACAUAUGUUUUUCCUUAUAGUAUACAUUUUAUUUUCUUUUUUAGUUGCCCUAUCAAAUGUGGAAAUGGUAUACCAUUUACUAUAGAGUCAAAUCACCGUUUAAUGUUAGUAGCUGGUUUGAAAAAUGAUUUCAAACAAAGAAGAAAAGACAGAUACUCAUAAGGGGAGGCAUUUGUUUUGUUUUGCCAUUAUGCAUCGUUUUCAACAAUUAAUAAAAAAUUUUGACAUCCAUGAGCAGGCUUAUGCUCGAAUUGGAAUGGCAAAGGAAGCUGCUGAUGCUGCAUCUCAGGCUAAGGAUAAUGAAUUACUAGGUCGAUUGAAAUUGACCUUCUCGCAGAAUGCAGCAGCUUCAUCAAUAUUUGAUACCCUUCGAGAUCGGUUGUCCUUCCAGGGGGUUUCUUAGUUUUGCUCUUUCGGCUCUGGCAUUUCACCUCUUCGUUGAUUUUGGAAGUAUGGAGCUGAGUGAUGGCGUUUGUUAAUAUGUUGAUAUCAUGGUUAAUGUUAUGAAGCUUCCAGAGCGAGCAUGUGACAGGCUGCUUGCUUGUUCUGGUGACCACCCUGUCAAAGAGCCUGAUUACUGCCCUUGUAUCUUCUUCUUUUAAGCUAUUGCAGUCUAUGAAAGAACACGUACAAACCAAUUGGUUUAGCUUCACUGUGGGCAGCGGGCAGCUCGCUUUGAUGCAUAGUUUUUGCCAAUGUAAUGUUAACAUCAGUUUGUAAACAAAACACAACAUGAACGGUAUAAUAUGGCUUGCAACCGCUCAGUGUGGCUUUUAGUUAUUUAUAUACGUGUUAUUGCAAGCCUUCUGUUAUUUUGCAAUUUAUUCAUCCGUUCUGUAAUCUACUCAUUCGUUUACUUCAUCUGCUAAUCAGAAAUGAGCAGCUUAUGAUGCCAACGCUCUCUGUGGUAUAAACUUUCAAAUUGCUACUUCAUCCUCCCCCGUUUUCCCAUAGCAUUUAAUAUGCAAUCGUAAAGAUGCAACGAAGAGCACUUCUCUAUACGAAAUUGUAAAGAUGCGAGUCAUUACGACGUCCCGGGAGGAUCCGUUUCUACUGUCUUGAGACCCGGUUCAAGGCUCAGCUGACCUCACUAGAAAAAGGUUGGAAUAAGCCUUUUCAAUGACUUGAUAUUGUUGCUAAUCAACCCUAUAAACUGAUAAAAUCUGGUGCUCCGUCAUGGAAGAGGAUGAGUUUUGUGUCUGAUACAAUCUGGUGCUCAUUUAUGUAAGAGAAUGCAAUUUUUGUCUCAUGUUAUUGCAGUGGUUUAAACGAAUACAUUUUUUGAGCUAGAAACCCUGGAAGAGCAAGGCAAAAUACCAGCGCUCAUAAAUGUGUGGAAACAGGGAAAAGUAUGUUAUGUGGCUCGGACGGUCGAGAGGCUAUUUCAGAUGGUAGCCAAAAAAACUUUGGUUCAUCGCUCACUUUGGAACUGCAUA